GCCAAGGUGGGUGAGGCACUGUACGCCCAGAGGGCUCCGGGGCCCAGUCCUGGGGUAGUGAUCUCUCUCUGGAGGGACCUUUGGAAGCAGUCAACCGGAAAUUGAUUCGUAAUGAGGGCCUACUAUGUGCCUAUCACUGAGAGUGCAUUUUUUGAGAAAGAAACUGUGAGAGUGGGCACGUGGCAACUGCUUUGAGAAAAUGUCAUCUUAGGUGGGCACUCAUGUUGUGAUUCCUUCCUGUUUUUUACAUCACAAAGAUUACUGAGCACAAGACCGGACUGGACGAAUCUUCCACAGCAUGGCCUAAACAAGAGACUGGCUCCAGACCUCUGAAGAAAGAGCCUCGAGGCAUCAAUCACUUUGUCAGAUUCCUGGGAACGUGAAGCGCCGGCACAUACUUUGUGGUCGCCCACAUUUGCCAUCGGGCUGUGUAGGCCCACAGCUAAACAGGUCUUCAAUUUCAAUUAGACACCCUGUCCAGAUAGGGGGAGGCAGGAGCGCGCCAGCAUGAGCUGGGCAU
Long non-coding RNA from Talpa occidentalis (Iberian mole), 520 nucleotides. RefSeq lists it as uncharacterized. NCBI's taxonomy places the organism in Eukaryota, Metazoa, Chordata, Mammalia, Eulipotyphla, Talpidae. The record is from RefSeq and is a predicted model, not a curated record. The transcript has 3 exons.